CGCGAGCUAUGACAGCGAUAUAAACCCCUCAGACUUCAUUCAAAAUGUGGGUGUUUGAUGGAGAGUUGCGGUUAGUGAGAGUUUGGAGACAGUUUGGAGGUUUAUGAGAGUGAGGAGAGAAAGUCAGGAGAGAAUGGAGCCAGCUAAGAAGAGGAGGAUGUCCUCCCCUGUGUGGGAACAUUUUGAUCUUAUUCCUCCCAACAAGGUGAAGUGUUUGCUAUGUGCCAGGGAGCUGGGAUAUAACAACAACACCUCAUCCAUGCUUAGGCACUACAGAGCUUUGCAUGAGAAUAAGGGGAACACCGAUUGUGGAGCAAGACCAGGAGAACAAUCUCAAAUAGAUGAAGACCUGGUUAGCAUGGUGAUUGAGGACUCACAGCCAUUUAGCAUUGUGGAGGACAAAGGAUUUAAAAGAUUUGUUAAAUCAUUAAAUCCUAGCUAUGUUCUCCCCAC
Long non-coding RNA from Astatotilapia calliptera (eastern happy), 453 nucleotides. The record is from Ensembl. NCBI's taxonomy places the organism in Eukaryota, Metazoa, Chordata, Actinopteri, Cichliformes, Cichlidae.